RNAcentral lists this ribosomal RNA (510 nucleotides) under Sporobolomyces carnicolor. Its description in RNAcentral is "LSU rRNA". It matches the Rfam family "Eukaryotic large subunit ribosomal RNA", at positions 125 to 649 of the family's 3401-position model. Lineage: Eukaryota; Fungi; Basidiomycota; Microbotryomycetes; Sporidiobolales; Sporidiobolaceae. The record is from RNAcentral.
GCGCCUUCCGGCGUCCGAGUUGUAAUCUCGAGAAGUGUUUUCCGUGAUAGACCGCAUACAAGUCUCUUGGAACAGAGCGUCAUAGUGGUGAGAACCCAGUACACGAUGCGGAUGCCUAUUACUUUGUGAUACACUUUCGAAGAGUCGAGUUGUUUGGGAAUGCAGCUCAAAUUGGGUGGUAAAUUCCAUCUAAAGCUAAAUAUUGGCGAGAGACCGAUAGCGAACAAGUACCGUGAGGGAAAGAUGAAAAGCACUUUGGAAAGAGAGUUAACAGUACGUGAAAUUGUUGGAAGGGAAACACAUGCAGUGAUACUUGCUAUUCGGGGCAACUCGAUUGGCAGGCCCGCAUCAUUUUUUCGGGGCGGAAAAUCAUAGAGAGAAGGUAGCAGUCUCGGCUGUGUUAUAGCUCUUUAUUGGAUUCGCCCUGGGGGACUGAGGAACGCAGCGUGCUUUUUGCAUGAGCUUCGGCUUAUCCACGCUUAGGAUGCGGGUUUAUGGCUGUAUAUGACC